GCUUACGGCCACACCGCCUGGUUCACGCCUGAUCUCGGAAGCUAAGAUAGGUUGGUCCUGGUUAUUGCUUGGAUGGGAGACCGCCUGGGAAUACCAGGUGCUGUAAGCU
RNAcentral lists this ribosomal RNA (109 nucleotides) under Scophthalmus maximus (turbot). Lineage: Eukaryota; Metazoa; Chordata; Actinopteri; Pleuronectiformes; Scophthalmidae. The record is from RNAcentral.